Molecule: long non-coding RNA, 1422 nt
Filed under: Volvox carteri
Lineage: Eukaryota; Viridiplantae; Chlorophyta; Chlorophyceae; Chlamydomonadales; Volvocaceae
Description: long non-coding RNA (VCAR_LNC000866)
Source: RNAcentral
CACACUUCGGCAACCGCCAACGCCGCGUUCGUUGACAAAGCCAUCGCGGAUCUGUUAGCAUCGGGCACAGCCCGCGUAUGGCCGACGCAGCCUCGUGUGGUUUGCCCGUUGGGGGUCGUGCAGCAGGCAACUAAGCUCCGGCUCAUUUGGGACGGCAGGCCGGUAAACGAUUACUUGCACGUCCCCUCUUUCCGCUACGAAGACUUGAAGGCGGUUCCUGGUUGGCUACUCCCAGACGAUUACCUAUUUACUUUGGACCUGGUCUGGUCUGGGUUGACACUACUGCAAUUAGCGGUUUAAGGUCCUGGGUUCGAUUCCUGGGGAGACCCCCGAAUUACUCGGGAGCGCGAGAUUAUGGCUAGCUGCUGAGAUGUGGAGUUGAGGUCACAGUUGAUGGACCAGAUUCGCACGCUGGAUUGGUGGCGAUUGCCGAACCCUCCGUCUCUUCGGGUGUUCGGGUGAAUGGAUGAGGAGGGGUCCCUGAAGGCUGGACCCACCGCCUUGGACUUACAGUUCGUAUGGCGAAGUACAGUGUGGUAGUGGUGGAUGGUGCUAUAAGGUGAUAAAUGAUCUAGAACUGACAAUGUGAUAAAGCGGCCCAGAAGCCUCCCACUCUGUAACAUUACAUUACAUUACAUUACAUUACUUUGGACCUCAAAAGCGGCUACCAUCACCUCGACAUUGACCCAAGGUUCUGGAGAUAUCUCGGCUUCUGCUGGAGAGGCGUCUUCUAUGUCUUCACACAACUGCCUUUUGGCCUCGCUUCCGCCUGCUGGGCGUUCACGAAGCUCAUGUGAGAAGUCAUGCGCCCCUGGCGCAAGCGCGGCUGGCGAUGCUCGGGCUACUUAGACGAUCAGGUGCACGCAGACCAGAACGCUGAUAACUUGGUACGGCGCAGGGCCGAAGUGGUUGCCCAGCUGGAGGCGCUUGGUUUCCCGGUUAAUAAAUAGAAAUUUAUGCUGGGGGCCGUGCACCAUCGCAUUAGAUACUUGGGCAUGCUUAUCGAUACCAAGGACGGCGUUUUCAUUGUGCCAGGCGACAAGCGGGAUCGCCUCCUAUCCACGAUCAAUUGCGUGCUCACGGCGCGGCGCUCGACCGCCCGCUUAUUGGCAUCCCUAAAAGGCCUAAUCCUGUCCAUGUCUUGGGCCCUCGGACCUUGGGCCCGGCUGCGCACCCGAGCUCUCGGUCAACUCGUUGAAACUCGCCAGACUUGGGAAACCCACCUCCUCCUCUCCGAUGAUGCGCGGGAGGAGCUGAUUUUCUGGGAAUCGUCCUUUGAUCGGUUCAACGGCCGCCGGCACCUGUGGGUUCCGUCCGUGGUGCAUUCCCUCAUUUUUUGCGACGCCGCAGGCAAAUCCUCUGAGUCUCUCGGAGGUUGGGGGGCCUGGACCAUCCUCAAUGGCCAGUUGGCGCCAGCGCGCG